RNAcentral lists this ribosomal RNA (383 nucleotides) under uncultured organism. RNAcentral's name for it is "bacterial SSU rRNA". It matches the Rfam family "Bacterial small subunit ribosomal RNA", at positions 367 to 762 of the family's 1533-position model. The record is from RNAcentral.
CGCAAUGGGCGAAAGCCUGACGGAGCGACGCCGCGUGAUGGAUGAAGUCCUUCGGGACGUAAACAUCUUUUAUGUGUGAAGAAGUUAUUGACAUUAACACAUGAAUAAGGGGCUCCUAACUCUGUGCCAGCAGGAGCGGUAAUACAGAGGCCCCAAGCGUUACCCGGAAUCAUUGGGCGUAAAGGGUGUGUAGGUGGUUGUGUUAGUCUUCUGUGAAAGGCUUCGGGCUUAACCCGGAGAGCGCAGGGGAAACGGCACGACUUAGAGGAUGUGAGGGGUGUGCAGAACUCAUAGUGUAGGGGUGAAAUCCGUUGAUAUUAUGGGGAAUACCAGAAGCGAAGGCAGCGCACUGGCGCAAUCCUGACACUGAAACACGAAAGCGU